GAGUUUGAUCCUGGCUCAGAACGAACGCUGGCGGCGUGGCUAAGACAUGCAAGUCGAACGGACUGGUCAAUUUAUUGGACAGUUAGUGGCGAAAGGGUUAGUAACGGAUAGGUAACGUACCCUGUGCUUUGGGAUAGCGUCAUCCCGACCUCGGUCGGGAUUUCCGAAAGGGGCGGUAAUACCAAAUAAUAUCAUUUGUCUAUAGGCAGGUGAUCAAAGAUUUAUCGGCAUAGGCGCGGCCUGCCUCCUAUCAGCUUGUUGGUGAGGUAACGGCUCACCAAGGCAGCGACGGGUAGCGGGACUGAGAGGUUGACCCGCAACAUCGGGACUGAGACACUGCCCGGACCUCCACGGAGGGCUGCAGUAACGAAUCUUGUGCAAUGGGCGAAAGCCUGACACAGCGACGCCGCGUGUAGGAGGAAGUCCUUCGGGAUGUAAACUACUGUCAGGGGGAAGAAAGUGCGCUUCGGCGCAUUGAUCUACCCCAGAGGAAGUCACGGCUAACUUCGUGCCAGCAGCCGCGGUAAGACGAAGGUGGCAAGCGUUGUUCGGUAUUACUGGGCUUAAAGCGUGUGUAGGCGGAGAUGUAAGCGUUGCGUGAAAUCCCCCGGCUUAACCGGGGAACUGCGUAACGAACUACAUUUCUUGAGGCAAGUAGGGGUGCAUGGAACUCUUGGUGGAGCGGUGGAAUGCGUAGAUAUCAAGAGGAACGCCAGUGGAGAAAUCGGUGCACUGGGCUUGUUCUGACGCUGAGACACGAAAGCGUGGGUAGCGAACGGGAUUAGAUACCCCGGUAGUCCACGCCGUAAACGACGCCUACUAGGUUGUGCAAGUUCUGACACUGGCACAGCCGAAGCAAAAGUGUUAAGUAGGCCGCCUGGGGAGUACGGUCGCAAGGCUAAAACUCAAAGGAAUUGACGGGGGCUCACACAAGCGGUGGAGCAUGUGGAUCAAUUCGAAGCAACGCGUAGAACCUUACCUGGGUUUGACAUGCAUGUAUGCUUGCUUGGAAACAGGUUAAGCUGCCCUUCGGGGUGAAACUUGCACAGGUGCUGCAUGGCUGUCGUCAGCUCGUGUCGUGAGAUGUCGGGUUAAGUCCUUUAACGAGCGAAACCCUUGCCGUUAGUU
RNAcentral lists this ribosomal RNA (1128 nucleotides) under uncultured bacterium. RNAcentral's name for it is "bacterial SSU rRNA". It matches the Rfam family "Bacterial small subunit ribosomal RNA", at positions 9 to 1116 of the family's 1533-position model. The record is from RNAcentral.